RNAcentral lists this ribosomal RNA (305 nucleotides) under uncultured bacterium. RNAcentral's name for it is "bacterial SSU rRNA". It matches the Rfam family "Bacterial small subunit ribosomal RNA", at positions 335 to 638 of the family's 1533-position model. The record is from RNAcentral.
UACCUACGGGAGGCAGCAGUGGGGAAUAUUGGGCAAUGGGCGCAAGCCUGACCCAGCAAUGCCGCGUGAGGGAAGACGGUCCUAUGGAUUGUAAACCUCUUUAGGCGGGGAGCAAUGCCGGGCACGUGUGCCCGGAGGGAGAGUACCCGCAGAAUAAGCAUCGGCUAACUCCGUGCCAGCAGCCGCGGUAAUACGGAGGAUGCGAGCGUUAUCCGGAUUUAUUGGGUUUAAAGGGUGCGUAGGCGGAUUUUUAAGUCGGCGGUAAAAUGUCCGGGCUCAACCCGGGCCGGCCGUUGAAACUGGGG